Molecule: transfer RNA, 587 nt
Filed under: uncultured bacterium
Lineage: Bacteria
Description: partial 16S-23S ribosomal RNA intergenic spacer
Rfam family: tRNA (bases 69-142)
Source: RNAcentral
UUAGAACGAUUUGUUCGAAGUGUCCACACAGAUGAUUGUUAAAUUAAUUGAGAACAACAAUUGAUUGUGGGUCUGUAGCUCAGCUGGUUAGAGCGCACCCCUGAUAAGGGUGAGGUCGGUAGUUCAAGUCUACUCAGACCCACCACUUUUCCUUCCCAAGGAUUUGUGGCUAAACAAUCAAACCACUUUAUAGUGGGGCUAUAGCUCAGCUGGGAGAGCGCCUGCCUUGCACGCAGGAGGUCAGCAGUUCGAUCCUGCUUAGCUCCACCAUUUCUCUUCUUAAACCUAAAUAAAUUAAAUCAGUUGAUUUAGUUUUGAGAAGAUAAUUCUCGAUUGCUCUUUAAAAAUUUGGAAAGCUGAUAAAACUUUAAAUUAUUCAUUUCUUAGGAAAUGUAAUUUAUUUAGAGUUCUCAAAAAAAAGUAAAGAAAAUAUGCCGCAUACUCUUAUUUAAGAAUAUGUUGGUAUCUACUUUAGUAUUCAAUAUUUAACUUCUGGCGGAGUUAAAAAAUCAGUCUUUGAUUUACAACUCAAAACUAUUUUGGGUUGUAUGGUUAAGUGACUAAGCGUAUACGGUGGAUGCCUUGGC